GAAUGCUGACAUAAGUAACGAUAAAGCGGGUGAAAAGCCCGCUCGCCGGAAGACCAAGGGUUCCUGUCCAACGUUAAUCGGGGCAGGGUGAGUCGACCCCUAAGGCGAGGCCGAAAGGCGUAGUCGAUGGGAAACGGGUUAAUAUUCCCGUACUUGGUGUUACUGCGAAGGGGGGACGGAGAAGGCUAUGUUGGCCGGGCGACGGUUGUCCCGGUUUAAGCGUGUAGGUGUGUGUUCCAGGUAAAUCCGGUUCACUUUAACACUGAGGCGUGACGACGAGGCACUACGGUGCUGAAGCAACAAAUGCCCUGCUUCCAGGAAAAGCCUCUAAGCAUCAGGUAACAUCAAAUCGUACCCCAAACCGACACAGGUGGUCAGGUAGAGAAUACCAAGGCGCUUGAGAGAACUCGGGUGAAGGAACUAGGCAAAAUGGUGCCGUAACUUCGGGAGAAGGCACGCUGACAUGUAGGUGAAGUGAUUUACUCAUGGAGCUGAAGUCAGUCGAAGAUACCAGCUGGCUGCAACUGUUUAUUAAAAACACAGCACUGUGCAAACACGAAAGUGGACGUAUACGGUGUGACGCCUGCCCGGUGCCGGAAGGUUAAUUGAUGGGGUCAGCGCAAGCGAAGCUCCUGAUCGAAGCCCCGGUAAACGGCGGCCGUAACUAUAACGGUCCUAAGGUAGCGAAAUUCCUUGUCGGGUAAGUUCCGACCUGCACGAAUGGCGUAAUGAUGGCCAGGCUGUCUCCACCCGAGACUCAGUGAAAUUGAACUCGCUGUGAAGAUGCAGUGUACCCGCGGCAAGACGGAAAGACCCCGUGAACCUUUACUAUAGCUUGACACUGAACAUUGAGCCUUGAUGUGUAGGAUAGGUGGGAGGCUUUGAAGUGUGGACGCCAGUCUGCAUGGAGCCGACCUUGAAAUACCACCCUUUAAUGUUUGAUGUUCUAACGUGGACCCGUGAUCCGGGUUGCGGACAGUGUCUGGUGGGUAGUUUGACUGGGGCGGUCUCCUCCUAAAGAGUAACGGAGGAGCACGAAGGUUGGCUAAUCCUGGUCGGACAUCAGGAGGUUAGUGCAAUGGCAUAAGCCAGCUUGACUGCGAGCGUGACGGCGCGAGCAGGUGCGAAAGCAGGUCAUAGUGAUCCGGUGGUUCUGAAUGGAAGGGCCAUCGCUCAACGGAUAAAAGGUACUCCGGGGAUAACAGGCUGAUACCGCCCAAGAGUUCAUAUCGACGGCGGUGUUUGGCACCUCGAUGUCGGCUCAUCACAUCCUGGGGCUGAAGUAGGUCCCAAGGGUAUGGCUGUUCGCCAUUUAAAGUGGUACGCGAGCUGGGUUUAGAACGUCGUGAGACAGUUCGGUCCCUAUCUGCCGUGGGCGCUGGAGAACUGAGGGGGGCUGCUCCUAGUACGAGAGGACCGGAGUGGACGCAUCACUGGUGUUCGGGUUGUCAUGCCAAUGGCACUGCCCGGUAGCUAAAUGCGGAAGAGAUAAGUGCUGAAAGCAUCUAAGCACGAAACUUGCCCCGAGAUGAGUUCUCCCUGAGACUUAGAGUCUCCUGAAGGAACGUUGAAGACGACGACGUUGAUAGGCCGGGUGUGUAAGCGCAGCGAUGCGUUGAGCUAACCGGUACUAAUGAACCGUGAGGCUUAACCUUACA
Molecule: ribosomal RNA, 1658 nt
Filed under: Salmonella enterica subsp. enterica serovar Takoradi
Lineage: Bacteria; Pseudomonadati; Pseudomonadota; Gammaproteobacteria; Enterobacterales; Enterobacteriaceae
Description: partial 23S ribosomal RNA
Rfam family: Bacterial large subunit ribosomal RNA
Source: RNAcentral